Non-coding RNA from Bos taurus (domestic cattle), 72 nucleotides. Lineage: Eukaryota; Metazoa; Chordata; Mammalia; Artiodactyla; Bovidae. The record is from Rfam.
UCCCUGGUGGCUCAGAUGGUAAAGAAUCUGCCUGUAAUGCAGGAAACCUGAGUUUGAUCCCCGGUUCGGGAA